Molecule: ribosomal RNA, 207 nt
Filed under: uncultured bacterium
Lineage: Bacteria
Description: partial 16S ribosomal RNA
Rfam family: Bacterial small subunit ribosomal RNA
Source: RNAcentral
CGUGUAGGCGGUGGAGUGUGUCUGGUGUGAAAUCCCUCGGCUUAACCGGGGAACUGCAUUGGAAACUACUUUGCUAGAGUGCGAGAGAGGAAGGCGGAAUUCCCAGUGUAGAGGUGAAAUUCGUAGAUACUGGGAGGAACACCGGAGGCGAAGGCGGCCUUCUGGCUCGUAACUGACGCUGAGACGCGAAAGCGUGGGUAGCAAACA